AUUGAACGCUGGCGGCAUGCUUUACACAUGCAAGUCGAACGGUAACAGGCCGCAAGGUUCUGACGAGUGGCGAACGGGUGAGUAAUGCAUCGGAACGUGCCCAGUCGUGGGGGGUAACUACUCGCAAGAGUAGCUAAUACCGCAUACGAUCUAUGGAUGAAAGCGGGGGACCGUAAGGCCUCGCGCGAUUGGAGCGGCCGAUGUCAGAUUAGGUAGUUGGUGGGGUAAAGGCUCACCAAGCCAACGAUCUGUAGCUGGUCUGAGAGGACGACCAGCCACACUGGGACUGGGACACGGCCCAGACUCCUACGGGAGGCAGCAGUGGGGAAUUUUGGACAAUGGGCGCAAGCCUGAUCCAGCAAUGCCGCGUGCAGGAAGAAGGCAUUCGGGUUGUAAACUGCUUUUGUACGGAACGAAACGGCUCUGGUUAAUACCCGGGGCUAAUGACGGUACCGGAAGAAUAAGCACCGGCUAACUACGUG
This 482-nucleotide ribosomal RNA is filed under the name uncultured bacterium. Its description in RNAcentral is "partial 16S ribosomal RNA". It matches the Rfam family "Bacterial small subunit ribosomal RNA", at positions 30 to 507 of the family's 1533-position model. The record is from RNAcentral.